AAGUCGUAACAAGGUUUCCGUAGGUGAUAGGUUUGCCUACCGAUGCCCUUGGCCAGUGACUCUAAACAAUUCGGCCAUAGUCGCCCCCCCGGGGGCUGGCGACGCCAUCAAUCUGUGCCUGGCAGUACUCUUUCGGGGGUAUCACCAGCAGCUCCGUUGCCCUGCGGCAUUUGAGUUCACAGAUCAAACGAUAGCGGCCACUUCGGUGGUUGAGAUAUGAUCGGCCUCCAGUUGUUACCCAGCUGGCGAGAUGUAGCGGAACCUGCGGAAGG
This 272-nucleotide unclassified non-coding RNA is filed under the name Cladonia sp. RNAcentral describes it as "partial contains internal transcribed spacer 1". The record is from RNAcentral. Lineage: Eukaryota; Fungi; Ascomycota; Lecanoromycetes; Lecanorales; Cladoniaceae.